Molecule: RNA transcript, 4600 nt
Organism: Lolium perenne
Lineage: Eukaryota; Viridiplantae; Streptophyta; Magnoliopsida; Poales; Poaceae
Source: RefSeq, a predicted model, not a curated record
CUCGGCCCGAUCUCCACCAAUCGCCACGCCCCCAAUCGCUCCCCAAUCCCCUCCUCUGCCCGUCUCCUCCCCAAUCCUCUCCCCUCGCGCCCGCAUCCCCGCCGCCGCACGCCUCUCUCCCUCUCCUUCUCUCCCCGCACCGCCCCUCUGCCUCCACACGCCCCUCUGCCUCCACCCCUCCUUUCCCCCUUGGCCUGAGCAGAAGGAGGCAGCAGGGCCUCCACCGCGCCCCUCCCUACUCGAGUCCAGCGAUGGAGGGCAUCUGGUGGCGACCACGACAGCCUCCUCGCCGCCCGUCGCUUGAUCUGCUCGUUCGGGCUCGUGGUGCUCACGGGGCAGACGGCGGCGGCCUCAACAGCGACCAUGGAGGAGCGGUGACACGCGGGGUGACCGAGCAGCUGUCGUUGGUGGCGGCCUCCUCCCUCGUCCCCUCCACCCUGCAGGUCUCUCGCCCAAACUCGCCGUCCCCGACCACGACCAUGGCAGGGAAGCUUCCUCUAAUCCCGAGCACCGCGUGCUACUCCUCCCUGACCAUGAGCACGGCGACGGCCGCCUGGGAACCAGGUGAGCAUCCUCGUCUCCUCCAUCUGCUCGUGAUGCCAUGGACCAAUAAGCUGCGCAGAGACAACUUUCAUGGAUAAAUAAGGACGGGAAUCAGAGGCUGGCAGGAAAGAAACAAUUCAAACAGCUUGUAUUUCAUCGGAACGGCAGAUCGCAGCGAGUUUAUGCUUCCUUGCCUCAAUGCCAUGCUCUGCUUUUAGGCUCAAACAGUUUUCGGAACACUUCAUGCCUUACAGGCUUAUUGAACUCAACUUGGCCCAUGGAUGGUUAAUGAUGCACCCGGAUUUCCUUGACGGGGUCUUCUUAUAGAUUGCGGAGCUCAACACAUUACAGCGGAACUGGGAAGACGACGAGGGCGGCAGACGGCUUCGCCGGGGGAGGCGACAACUGAUUGAAAAUGGACUAUCGUUAUGCUUCACUGUUAGUAAUAUUUUCUUCUCCAUUUUGAGCUGUACUACCUUCAUCCCAAGGCUUAAGCUAUAAUUGACAACCCAGGUUAGAAAUAACCAUCCAGAAGGACAACAAAUGUUUAGUGUAUUCAAUUUUAAUCUAAUUAUAUGCUAGAAAACACUGGCCAAGUGCAUUCUUUCUGAGCUUGCUCUGUUAAUUAGUCAAGAAUGCUAUUUUAAAGGUCAAGCUAAACACCGAACUCGCUGCCGUCGUUGGGAAGCACAAUAGAGGUUGCAGGAUGUUGCAGUGAUGCAUGCCAACUACCAGAGUUUGUCACCAAAAAGGUAACUCAUAUCUUUUGCAUUGAAUUUAUUUUGAAUUGCGCAGUACCGGCUGAUGGUAAGGAGACAAGACAUAGGCUGCAGGCUGUCGUGGUGCUCAUCUCGGUGGCAUUGAAUUUACUCGAAAAUGUGCAGCUGCAGACCUAUAGUAAUCAUGGUUAAAUAUAUUCUGAUUGGGUAGUUCAAAAUUUAGUAGUAGUAGCUGAUUGGAGCAAUGUAAAAGAAAGAUUCCCCUCAAUUCUGGCUCUUUUGGUAGAUAAAUGUUGAACCUUAGGUGUCAGUUUUCUUUCAUACAGUCAGCUUAUGUAUUUUUCAUGUGCGCUUUGAACCAUUGUUCAAGCUUGAGAUCUUUUUGUUGGUUCAAACGAGAUUGCUUUGCAGCUAUAUCUUCCCAUAUUUCUAUCUUAUACAUUGUUUAGAGAGCUAAUUUUACCGUUCCUGAUAAUACUGGAUUUUUUAUUAAUUGUGUGCUUAUGCUACCAUGCAGGUAUAGUAGCUUGGCACUGGCGCUUAUAUUUGUUUAGCUCACAAAUUAGUUAGGGAAUGAUGAGACGAAAUCCUUGGCCAAUAGAGCCCUAAUCUUACCGUUCACUACUUGGUCAACUUACUUCGUUGUAUGUCAGAUAAUAUACCUAAUAAGUUUUCAUAUUUUUAUUUUUUAUUAUUCUAUAGCAACCCCUUGUGAUUGGCUGGUUACAGGCUUUUUUCUAUACUUCUACUCCCAAAUAUCCUGGUGGGAACUCAAAUCUUUCAACACUGCCUUUUUGGUGCUGCAGAAAUGACUGUGUAUUCAAAGGAACCGAACCAAGUCUUUACAGAUAUGGGAGUAUCCUCGAGGAGUUGAUGCAUAAGGUCUCCUAGAGAGCGGAAAGAAGAGUGUAUGAUGACCUACAGGCCUGGAUUGCAAGAUAUAGGUAUCCUUUUGUAUUUAUGCAUCUCUACAUACUCCCCUACAUUUCCAAUACAGUUUAUUUGUCUCCCAUCUUGAGCUCCUGCCGGUAGGUCUGAGGUUGGUCGCUGGCCCAUGUCUCUGGUGCUUGAAGUUGCUGUUCAACGGAUGCGAGGCGUACCGCUCCAAAGCUGAUCUGUUCAUGCUCUUUGUUGCUUCUGCCUGCUAGAUUUAAUAUGUUUUCUGGUUUACUUCUGUAUCAAUUUCUCCUUUUUGCCACUAAAAGUGAGUCCUUAAAUUGGUGAACUGACUUAUCAAUUUCAGGUUAUUUAAACAGAAGAUGGAAACAUCCCCAAGGUCCCAACAGUACAGCCAGGGCAUGUGAGUUUAGUUUGGGUGAACUAAUACACUGGGAUCUUCAUUGUUUAGGAUGUAUUUUGCCAUCCUAUGAUGUGCUUUUGUCAUGCUGCAUCCGCAUCUAUGCCCUAUACAUAUUUGCUUGAUUAUUUGUUGAAAUAGAAUUAUGCUAGAUUUGGAUGAAGAAAACACUUCAUUUGUAGCCUGUGACAAAAGUAACCCCGAAGAAGAAAACUGCAAGGUUCUUUUAUUGUGCAAAUUGGUUUGCACGAUAGUGAUUUGUCACCAAUAGGAUGGACACUAAUUUAGAGUUUAGACGCUCAUGUAUGCACUACUUGCUAACCUUUCUAAGCAGCAUCAAAAAUAUUUUUUUGGUCGCAAUCCAAAGAUGUACAGCUAAAUACUCAGUUGUUACUUUACCAUAUAGUUUCUGUUAGUUUGAUCAUCCUAAAUGUAUUGUUCUGUGUAUGACAUAACUAAGUGGUUCACUAUUUCAGAAAAAUAAGCUUCAAAGGCCUCCAUUGUUGUUUUUGUUUAAUUUUUAUUUCAAGUUUUGUCAUGUGUAAGAUAUUACCUAUUCAUAUAGCCUUCAAACAUUUGCCAAUGCUGUUCUAAAGUAUAUAACCCAUAGGUCAUGUUUUGUACGAUGUUUCUAUUAUUCAUUUCAGCAACAUUUCCUGUUGGGUUGCUGCUUAUGCUGAAGUAUGUUUCCGCUGUCAUUGGGUCGCCGCAGCUGCUGGAGUAGGAGUACAGGUUGCCGGCCUCCAUCUUGGCAUAAGGUCUGUUAUCUUAGCAAUCCCUUGCUGUGUCUGGUUCUCGGUAGAACCAAAGCAUAUGGCCAAUAGAUGGAUUUACGAUGGGAUAAAAAUGGUUAAUUAGCUGGGUUUGCUAAGCUAUGUUUUGUUUCUUCUCUGUCCCUAUACUCCAUUGAAGGGAAAAAUUAGAGUUGGAAUUCUCUAAAAUAAUUCUGUAGGUGUUGUUUGUUUUGUACUUUUUAUAUAUGAAAAGAUGGACAUGUUGUGUAGUUUACAGUAGCAAUUGGAAAAUUAGUACGGGUGCAUGCCAACAUUGAGAGUUAAGGUUCAGAAGUGUUAGCCUGUUGAGUGUUGACUUCAAACAUCUUCUAUUAAGGUUCUCCUUGGGCUGUUUGGUGCAGUGAGUUUAGAAUUAAGUCUUUUAUUUCUACAAGCAUAAUUUCGAGGCACACCCUGAAUAAAAAUUGUAGACCAUGUUCCAGGCUUUCCAUAUAAUAUUUAUUUGUGCAAUUUGGUUGGACACAUUCAAAUAGCGCCCAGUUUAUUGAUCUGUCCAGAAUAUAGUUCUUCUAUAGACAGUAAACUUCAUUACAACUUUGGAUGGACACUUUUUACUUAGUCUUGGGCAUAGGAACGCUGCUAUUUUCUGAAUGUUAUGAAGUGGUGAUUUGAUAUAUGUUUGGAUAAGAGUUAUGGCUCCAUGGACAUGGUUUUUACAUGGUGUUUCUAUAAUCAUUCUAGCUAUUUUUUACUCAGUCAGAGAUGACACAAUUGUUUGUGGAAAUUUUGAUGUGAGAUAUCAGACAAUGUUUCCCAUAGAAAGAUUAAAUAUAUUUUUUCAUUAUGCUCGAUGGUGAAAAUUUUCAAAUAGAGGUUGACAGAAAUAUCAAAUAAUCAAUGGCUUGCAUGUAUAUUAUUACGUUCCCUUACAUAUCCUUUGUGAGAUAUAUUCUUGCUUUUCCAACCAGACUCUUUCGGAAAUUAAAAUACAUACCGACUGAUGGAUCAAUCGAAAAAAUGAUUUACUUUCUCGGACUACAACCAAGAAAGCACAUAGUUGUCGUUGAGAUUUCAUCCAGGGUCUUGAUCAUGGCAGCUUCCAGAUCAAUUGUACAACACUAUAGCCACGAAGUGUGAAGUGUGAAGUGACGGUGACCUACCUCUAUUGGUAUGUCAUAUACAUAUCUAUUGAAAAAGUCUGGCUAUGGGGAAAACACAUCCCUAUGUACACGCAUCAUGUUGUUGAAGAAGAUUUAUUAAAUUUGGGAGCAAAAUUAUAUUAUAUCAUUUUUACAUCGUUUCUCCUA